RNA transcript from Camelina sativa (false flax), 1610 nucleotides. It is a transcript of the gene named putative glycosyltransferase At5g03795, with no coding region annotated. The record is from RefSeq and is a predicted model, not a curated record. Lineage: Eukaryota; Viridiplantae; Streptophyta; Magnoliopsida; Brassicales; Brassicaceae.
CUCACACAAAAGACAGCUAAAAAAGAUUGAUUUGAUACUUUGCAAUAGAGAGAGAGCUUUUAGAUCCGACCCGACGAUGACGAUCGUUAAACCGUCGUUGUUCCCCGGCGGCGGAUCUUCGCCGUUAUGUUCACUCAAAACCUCACUCCUCACCGUCGCUGUUCUCACUUUCGUUUCCCUCUUCUACCUCUCCCUCAAUUCCUUGCGCACUUCGCCGCCGUCUCCGGUCGUGUUAACGCCGAUUCAUGUUCCUCAGACCGUGAAGGAAGACAAGACAGAUAACAACAACGACGACAACGACGGCACAGCACCGACGACGGGAGAAGAUAAUAAUUAUUCCGAUGUUUAUCACUCGCCGGAGUCUUUCCGAUUGAAUUACGCCGAGAUGGAGAAGAGAUUCAAGGUUUAUAUUUAUCCCGACGGAGAUCCGAACACGUUUUAUCAGACGCCGAGGAAAGUUACCGGUAAAUACGCUAGUGAGGGUUACUUCUUCCAGAACAUUAGAGAGAGUCGAUUUCGAACCCUAGAUCCAGAAGAGGCUGAUCUCUUCUUCAUUCCAGUCUCUUGUCACAAGAUGCGAGGCAAAGGAACGUCAUAUGAAAACAUGACUGUGAUUGUUCAAGAUUAUGUUGAUGGAUUGAUAGCUAAGUAUCCUUAUUGGAAUAGAACUUUAGGAGCUGAUCACUUCUUUGUUACCUGUCAUGAUGUUGGUGUGAGAGCUUUCGAGGGAUCUCCUCUUCUGAUUAAGAAUACAAUUAGGGUUGUGUGCUCACCGAGCUACAAUGUUGGUUUUAUUCCUCAUAAAGAUGUUGCUUUGCCUCAAGUUCUUCAGCCUUUUGCUCUCCCUGCCGGUGGGAAUGAUGUUGAGAAUCGGACAACCCUUGGUUUUUGGGCUGGUCAUCGGAAUUCCAAGAUACGGGUAAUACUUGCCCGUGUGUGGGAAAACGACACAGAGCUUGAUAUUUCAAACAACAGAAUUAACAGGGCGACAGGGCAUUUAGUGUACCAGAAGAGAUUCUACAGGACUAAAUUCUGCAUAUGCCCUGGCGGUUCUCAAGUCAACAGCGCUCGCAUAACUGACUCGAUCCAUUAUGGAUGUGUACCUGUCAUAUUAUCAGACUACUACGACCUCCCUUUCAACGACAUCCUGGAUUGGCGAAAAUUUGCAGUUGUACUCAGAGAGCGAGAUGUUUAUAACCUUAAGCAGAUCCUAAAGAACAUACCUCAGUCUGAGUUUGUUUCGUUACAUAACAACUUGGUGAAGGUGCAGAAGCAUUUUCAGUGGAAUACACCUCCUGUCAAAUUUGACGCAUUUCACAUGAUCAUGUAUGAACUAUGGUUACGCCACCAUGUCAUCAAGUACUGAUGGAAGACUUUUUUUUUUUUGUUCUUUUUCUUUUUCUUUUCGUCAACCGCGUAGGUACAGUUCAAAGCAAAAAAAAGAGCUAGCAUGUACACCUCUUGUUAGUCAGUUUCUUGAUAGGGUUCUGAACAUACGCAAACUCAACACUGGAGGGGCUAUCAUUAUUUUUUGUGUAAAUAACCUUUUGCUUCCAUAUAUAUUAAGAACAUGUGCGUAAGCUAUUGAAAUGCUGAUAUUAGUGCUGAGA